CUUUUUUCUUUGCUCUUGACACCUUCCAUCCUUUUGGAAAAAAUCUCCCUUUUUUCAAGCUGUCUUGUCACUUGUCAUGAAAUGCUUAGGCUGAUCCAUAUUACAUUUCCAUCCACAGCCAUUAGCUAGUAAUUACCUUCUUCUUGAUAUGCCUUACAUCUUGGAUUGAAUUUUGCAGAAUAGGACUUAUUCCAGUCUCCCUAGGAUAUUGUCUUGUGUAUCACUGAGGAUACCUAUCUUCAUGCCAGCACAACUGAGAUCUGGAAUCUUAUCCCAGCUCCCAUACGCAUUGGAAUCCCCAGCUAGGAGUUGUGCUUACGGCACAGAGCAUUAAUGACAGAGAAGUAGACAUAGUGAGCCAAAAUGCUGGCAUAAGGGGUUGAUAUUUUAGAAAAUAUUUGUGAGUAACAAAUUGAGGGUAUUUUUGUUAAUUGUGUUGUAGACUUUCAUUUUCCCCUCUUCUAGCAUAUUUUGAUUAAGUAGAAGUGCAAGCUAGCCUAAGGUAAAUUGGGAAAUCAGUCCUUUAGAUGCAAUUGCUUGUUUUAUUUCUUUCCAUUUCUGAUGAAGAACAUUUUGAUGUCACUGAAACACCUAGUGCCUCAUGAUUGAAAUUCCAUCAUGCAGCAUAACUUAAAAAGUACAUAUCAAACUCUUGAAAGAUGUAAUCAGCUUCCUCAGUCACCAGUGACCAAGUAAUGAAACCUGUAUGUGGGGAGGUAAGGGGGUUGUGUACUGAGGGAAGGGAAUCAGUUUUAUCUUCAGAAAUGUUACUAUUAUAUUGACUUAGAGGUAAUAUUUUAAGCAUGGUAUCUUGCAUCUUAUAAUUCAGGAAGCCUAAAAACACAGCACAAGAAAAUUUUAAGAAAUAACAACUUUUGUUUCAAGAAAGCUUUUAGUCUGUAAUGAUACAAGCAUGGUGCAGCCCAUUGCUAUGAAUGUGUAUGGAUACCCUGUGGCUAGGGAGCUGCUGCUCUUCCAUUACCUUCCUCACUCCCUGUUUGUGAGCCCAUCUGUUGGGAAAAACAUCUCUCAGCAUGUUGUCCAACUGGACAGUGUUGUGCAAACUGGAGGGUAGGAGGGAGGCAGAGAGGGAAUAGUGAGGAUACACCAGCAUAUGUGGACCAAGAGGGUAAGUAUUUAUAGAGCUUCUGAGGAUGUAGAUGAAGAUAGGCUGUGAGAAGAACACUGAGGUAGCACAGAGCCUGGAGUACCAUGAAAAGAGAACUGGAGCUGAGAGCUCAGGAUGAAGUACCAGGCAGGCUGCACCUCCCAGGGAAAGGCCCUGUGCUUUCAUAACUUUAUCUCCAGUUUGCUCAUUGGGUGGUGGUAGGGGACACCUGAGGAUGGGGUGUGGUGUGGAAUUUAUGGAAGGCUGUUAGACUAAGAACCUGAGGUCUCAGGAAAAUCAUCUUUUUAAAGAAGAGGGAAGAGAAGUGGCUCUCAUUAGCUGGGUUUUAGGCCACUGAUGAUCUCACUGCUGCUGAGUUGGAACCACAGGAUUACCAGCUGCAUGUUUUAGAUAGGUUUAGAGUCAUCUUGGUUUCUGUUUCUGCCAUCUUGCAUCAGGUGACUACAUGAAAUCCCUCUUCCAAUCAUGUUGGAAGCCAAUUCCUGCUACCUCAAUCACAAUCAGAAUCAUGUGUUAAGUCAGUUACCAUGCUAAGAUGAUACCAAUUUGUCUUUCUCUUGCUUGUAAACUAGACAAAAAGAGAUUUGAGAGUCCGUUGUGAUGAUGUAAGAUCAGUUACCUUCAGUGUCAUUAGUGAAUCUUCCUGUACUUGGAUCAGGUAUAAUCAGAGUUCUUAGUUAUACUGCUAAUUGGUAUCAUGUUCCUCUUCUUAAUCCUUUUGGUUUUUAUAUAAAAAUGUAUCUAAGAUGAAAGAAGUUUUUAAACUAUAUAUUUGUGAAUAGCAUUUGUCACCUUCAAAUCACCAUUUACCCCCCACCUCCAUUCUGAGGAUAUAAACUGAGUUUUCAGUGUCUAUGAUUCUGGUGUCCACAUAGUAAUGUAGACUUUCAGAUUCUUUUCUCAUAGGAAGAAAAGGCUAUCAAAUUCCUGAGAGAGAGAAUUAGUAGUUCUGGAAACCAUAAAUGCACAUUUGUAAAAUCCUGAAAGAUCAUUCAUUUUUGUAGCAGAUGUUACUGGUUCAGAUUCUAGUGAUGCAAGCUAUGUAGCAAUGAGAAACAAAAUUGAAACACAAACAAUAAAAAGAAAAAAGGAUUUUUAAAAUUUAUUAUUAGUCACUGGCUGUCAUAAUCCACUGGAAGGAUCUUUCUUGAACUGAAGAACAGUAUUAAUAAUAUCAAGGACUCAAAGUUUCAUUUGCGUUAUUGAGAGUCAUGUGAUUUGAGAUUUCAACCUAUAUAUAAAGAGUAUUUAUAUAUAGAUUUUAACCUAUAUAUAAAGAGUAUUUCACUCAUAAGGCAAGAAACAUAGGUAUCUUGCAUAUAUGAGAUGAGUUGUCAGAUCAUUAAUAUUGCUGAAUACCUCUUUUUACUCAGUAAGAGAUUUCAAUGAUAAGAAUAUUUGAAAAUACCUUUUUAGGAUAAAAGAUCACACUGGAAGUGUCACUUCUACCUUCUUUGCUGAGUAUUCUCAUGGCGGAACUAGAAAAUUUCUCUUUUUAGUCUGUUCCCAGUGAUAUGAUAGGGUGCAAUUACCACAGUAUAAUGUCUUCAGCUGAGCUGUCACCUGCUGAGCUUACCCCACUUACUGUAUGAAAAAUGUUGACCUGAAUCAUCUCUGCUGAAAGUUACUUUUGACUGGGAUGGAAAAUUAUGACUAGUGCUCAUCACUGGUUGCAACGAGUCAAGGAGCAGGUCAGAACUCAUUAAGUCCAUCACACUGCUGAAUUUAGUAUCCCUAAGUUAUCACACAGACUUACACAGGUAGAUGAACAGAUGAACAGCAGCCUUUGAAAAAGCUCUAAAAUGUGUAGAUCUUCAAGUUAUUCUUUGAGCUUUAAUGAGGUGCUGGAUUCAGCUGGUUUUAGAUUUCUUGUAAAGAUCUUGAAUCAGACUGCAAGCACACUUUUAGGCUAGGGUGAUAACCUUAGUGAUAGUUACUGUCUAAAAGCAGAGAACAAGGUCUGGUAUGCUGGUGAAUUGGGAACUAGACCUUUUUCUGUCACUCAUUUGCUUUGCUGACUUGGCCAAAACUGCUUGAACAUCUCUGCUUCAUUUUCCUUAUUCAAAAUAUAAGCUAGAUAUUUCCUGAAAAGUAUGUUUCCAUGUUUACUUACAAUACACACUUUGUAAAGCACUUGGAAGAUGAAAAUCUAUUCAAGAAAAUCUGUGUGGCCUUGACUCUCUUGUUCUUCCUUAAUAUGCUGUCAGGCACCUAAUGAGAGAACUCUUGACUCAGCAGAAAGUGUGCUCUCACUUCUUAAGCUUCAAGAUUCUGUACUUGCUGAAUCACACCAGCAGAACAGUGCAAUAAAUUAUAUUGUCUGUUUCUUCGAUGGCAGGGGAGGAGGGAAUGGACUCCAGCUUACACCAACAGUUUAAUGUCUGAAUUACGGUAGAGCAUCCAUAUGUGCAACUGCACUCAGUUUGGGGUCCUGUUGGUAACUUUCAGAGUAGAAGUAUAAUUGCUUCUGUAUCACUUUGUACCAUGAAUGUGAAGCUUGUGUGAAUACUGUAUUACCUGUGGCAAUGCAGACAGUCCUUCAUUAAUAAUACAAGAAUGCUCUAGGUUUCCUGGUCUUGAGGAGAGAAGGAGCAGCAUGAGUACACGGCCAAAUUACUUCAGGAGUGAAGAUGCUUAUUUAGGUGUGGCAAAAGAUUUGCAGAAACUCACUGUUUCAAAGAGUAUUAAAAAUGCUGAAUAAAGGCGAGAGCUCGCAACUAUCACAGCAGCUGGAGAGCAGAAUAAGCGAAUCUGGGGCUGCUCUUCUGUCCUGUUGUGGUUGUGCAGAGCCUGUAUGCCAGGAUGGGCAUGUCACAGCAGGGGACACCGGGCACAUCACAGCAUUGUUCUGCAAGGAGCCACAAAAGUGCAGUCUGACAAUGAGCUUGCAGAGAUGGGGGUCACAAAAUUCAGAUGCUGUACAGAGCUGUUGGAUCCUUGAAACUCAACUUCUCCAACCUCAGAUGAAUCCAGAAAUGGUAUCACCCUGGGAGAACGAAUGGAACUCAGACCCACAAAGACAGAAAACAGGAACUGCCUUUUGAAGUAGCUGGUUUAUUUCAACAGCAUGCACUGGCAGUCAGAGGCGGAAAGAAGAGGGAAAAAACUGUAAGCAACCCAGAAAUGUUCCCAGAUGCAUGCUUUUGGCAGGGCAAGCAAUAGCAUUUUAGCAAUAUAAAUCACAGUGCUUUUAACUGAAAAAAUGCACUGAAAUCUAUACUCACACAUUUAAUUGAAAUACAUAAAGAAAUUAAAAUAAUACUCCUCAUCAGCAAUCCAAGCUGAUCAUUCUGACUACAGGAUUUUUAUGAAUAAGCACAUAAACUUGUAAUGUAAACAUAAGUAGUGCCUUGGGUUUCCUGUCAGUGAAUCCAGGCCCAGAACAAGUGAUUUUCAUGCUGUAUUUGGAUCCAGGAACAGAAAAAGGUAAAGAAGGUUUGUUGCUGGCACAAAGAUUUGGCUUUGAAAUAGUUUGUGGAACUAAUCUGCAACAAACAUAUUUUCUGCUUCUGGAGUUUCAAAAUUAUUUCAAAAUACCAGUUUUGUCUUCUGGGUCAUUUUAACACUUCUUUCAGGAAAGUAUUAUUUAAAGUGUGACCAUAUCUAUUCUUAGGAAGGGCCAACCUGGGAUUUUUUUGCCACAGUAGGCCACCUCCACUUUGCACUAUGCUUACAUUUCUGGUAGUGCCACUACCAUGAAUUGUCUGAUAAGGUCCAUCUUAAGCAUUUCUCUUCUCUUUGUCUUAACACUUUUGAUGGUGAGCUAUCAGGAUCCUCUUUGAAUUUUACAAUAGUAUUAUUGUUUUCCUGUUGCUAUAAAUCCUACCAAAGUUAAGCUUCAAACUUCCCACCUCACACACAUCAUGAGUUCGGUCUGUGAAAGGAAGGGCAUAUGUUGGCUGGGAGCUGCUGAACAGAAGCAAAGGGGAAAUUUGUAGUGAGUUUUCUCAGUUUCCUGUCCACUGAUCAUUAAAAUCUAAUGUUGUUUGUCUGUCUUGUUAUUUGUCAGAGACUUCACAUGGGGAGUUUGGAGAUGCAUCUUCUUCACAACCAUGGAAAACUUUGCAGGAGAGGAUGAAAGGAUAACAUUCUCCAAAAUUUUCAAGAGUGCUAAACCAAGAUUUCCAUAAAAUGAACCAGGGCAGAGGAUGGGGGGAGGGGGUGAAAUGUGUGCUUGAAGAAACACAGAAGAACCAGAGAGGGACACAGGAAUGUGGAUGAAGUCCUUAAGGAUCUCCAGAGAGGGCAAAUGUAGAUUCAGCAAAACUUUAUGAGACGAAACAUCCAUGAGAUGUAUACUCCUACAGCUCAUCUGUGCAGCCCACUAUCCUCUUGGGGCUUUCCCUGUACUUGGACCUGCUGGCCAACUGGCUGGUGUAGAACACCACAAUUUCUGCACAGCCCCAGAGGAAAAUCACCAUAGUGAUGAGUGUUUGUAUUCUGAUCUCAGAACUGGGUAGAAACAAAAAGAAAUUUCACACAAUUUUCUAGCCUGAUCAUCUUUAGGAACAAUACACAGAAAAUCAUGACAUAUCUCUAUUUGUCUGCUAGUUUGCAUACCUCUAGAGGAUUCUCUCACUUCUACCUCUUAUUUUUGGUCUACUCUUGGCCAACUUUAGGGAAAAAAAUCAUAGAUUGAUAGUAAUCUAAAAGCCUUUGAAGUUGUUACAAUAUUUGGGAAGAGAGGGGACCCAGCAGCUAACAGAAUCCAAAUAGGAGAGAGGCCUUUAAGAGAUCCAAACCAGGAAGAUGGCUGUAGCUGAAGUUUAUACCUGUUUUAUAUGUGAAAGUCAAGUGAACACAAGACAUGAAGUUAUAGGAGGAAACUAUGAUCUGUUCUUUGCGAGACUCACAAACCAGCUUCUUAAGUGACUGUACAUGACAACUGUUUUUCUACUGUUUUUCUAUAUGACAACUACUCAAUAAAGUUGUUAUAUAUGA
Taeniopygia guttata (zebra finch) is the source of this 6070-nucleotide long non-coding RNA. RefSeq lists it as uncharacterized. Lineage: Eukaryota; Metazoa; Chordata; Aves; Passeriformes; Estrildidae. The record is from RefSeq and is a predicted model, not a curated record.